GUUGUGGCUCAGUGGUAGAGUGUUUGCCUAGCACAUACGGGGCCAUGGGUUCGAUCCUCAGCACACA
This 67-nucleotide transfer RNA is filed under the name Marmota monax (woodchuck). RNAcentral's name for it is "tRNA.Ala". Lineage: Eukaryota; Metazoa; Chordata; Mammalia; Rodentia; Sciuridae. The record is from RNAcentral.